Parasteatoda tepidariorum (common house spider) is the source of this 230-nucleotide non-coding RNA. The record is from RefSeq and is a predicted model, not a curated record. NCBI's taxonomy places the organism in Eukaryota, Metazoa, Arthropoda, Arachnida, Araneae, Theridiidae.
UAGGACGGAGAAAAUAUAAAGAUGAAUUCGAACUAGGUUUAACAAAACCGAACUGAUAACUGAGCACUUUAGCGGUAAUAUUCUGAAUUCGAAAAACCUUCACCAAAUUUUCGAUUGAGAACCAUCUGCCAUAAGAGCAGUGCUUCAAGAUACAAUAUGAGUCGUCAAUUGGAGUUGAAAUCUUCUGCUGCAAGCAGAAAACUUCAAAUAUGUGGUGAUAGGUGCAUUGU